GAUGAACGCUAGCUACAGGCUUAACACAUGCAAGUCGAGGGGCAGCGCAGUGUAGCAAUACAUGGGCGGCGACCGGCGCACGGGUGCGUAACGCGUAUCCAACCUUCCCGUUACUCUUGGAUAGCCUUCCGAAAGGGAGAUUAAUACAAGAUGGUAUUCAAAUUCCGCAUGUUAUUUGAAUUAAAGAUUUAUCGGUAACGGAUGGGGAUGCGUGACAUUAGGUAGAUGGCGGGGUAACGGCCCACCAUGCCUACGAUGUCUAGGGGUUCUGAGAGGAAGGUCCCCCACACUGGAACUGAGACACGGUCCAGACUCCUACGGGAGGCAGCAGUGAGGAAUAUUGGUCAAUGGUCGGAAGACUGAACCAGCCAAGUAGCGUGAAGGAUGAAGGUUCUAUGGAUUGUAAACUUCUUUUAUACGGGAAUAAAACCUCCCACGUGUGGGAGCUUGUAUGUACCGUAUGAAUAAGCAUCGGCUAACUCCGUG
RNAcentral lists this ribosomal RNA (486 nucleotides) under uncultured bacterium. RNAcentral describes it as "bacterial SSU rRNA". It matches the Rfam family "Bacterial small subunit ribosomal RNA", at positions 28 to 507 of the family's 1533-position model. The record is from RNAcentral.